Molecule: long non-coding RNA, 528 nt
Organism: Cebus imitator (Panamanian white-faced capuchin)
Lineage: Eukaryota; Metazoa; Chordata; Mammalia; Primates; Cebidae
Exons: 2
Source: RefSeq, a predicted model, not a curated record
AGAGGCAGCUGGUCUGGACUGGAAUGAGUCCCCCCUUUCUCCUAUGCAAACUUCUGGACCAUGAGCAGCUCCCUUAAAAGGACCAAGAGAGAGGUGCCCCCAACUAAGGUGCUGGACUGGGUUUUUAAGGGGGCCACCUGAAGCAGGACUUUGUCCCGCGCUAAAGUCACCAACUGAGGACAGAAGCAGGUCCCCCAUCUUUGGGAUAUCUCCCAGGUCUGCUCCCAGUAGAAUGUCUGAGAAAUCUUUGAUGACUAGUGCAAUCUGUGAAGGUUACGCACUCGGAGGAAGGGACAGGACACACUGACGGUUUGCAGUGGUGGGAAGAGGAUUCCAUCCAGAGGUGGGAAGACAAGUAAAAUGACUUCUUAGAGCCCCUUUCUGCUUUCCCACCCACCGCCUCCCCUGUCUCAAGCAUCUGAUCCCAGACCUAUUUCAGAAUCUCCUAUCUCUCUGCUCAGCGGAAGCAGUGAUAUGACCUAAUGUGAUCUCAUUCUAGAGCUAAAUAAAACCAUUGUGUGAGACCCA